GACGAACGCUGGCGGCGUGCUUAACACAUGCAAGUCGAGCGGUAAGGCCCUUUCGGGGGUACACGAGCGGCGAACGGGUGAGUAACACGUGGGUGACCUGCCCUCAGCUCUGGGAUAAGCCUGGGAAACUGGGUCUAAUACCGGAUAUGACUCCAUGACGCAUGUUGUGGGGUGGAAAGCCUUGUGCGGCUGAGGAUGGGCCCGCGGCCUAUCAGCUUGCUGGUGGGGUGAUGGCCUACCAAGGCGACGACGGGUAGCCGGCCUGAGAGGGCGACCGGCCACACUGGGACUGAGACACGGCCCAGACUCCUACGGGAGGCAGCAGUGGGGAAUCUUGCGCAAUGGGCGAAAGCCUGACGCAGCGACGCCGCGUGAGGGAUG
Molecule: ribosomal RNA, 381 nt
Filed under: uncultured bacterium
Lineage: Bacteria
Description: bacterial SSU rRNA
Rfam family: Bacterial small subunit ribosomal RNA
Source: RNAcentral